This 800-nucleotide ribosomal RNA is filed under the name Clostridioides difficile. RNAcentral's name for it is "bacterial SSU rRNA". It matches the Rfam family "Bacterial small subunit ribosomal RNA", at positions 8 to 840 of the family's 1533-position model. The record is from RNAcentral. Lineage: Bacteria; Bacillati; Bacillota; Clostridia; Peptostreptococcales; Peptostreptococcaceae.
AGAGUUUGAUCCUGGCUCAGGAUGAACGCUGGCGGCGUGCCUAACACAUGCAAGUUGAGCGAUUUACUUCGGUAAAGAGCGGCGGACGGGUGAGUAACGCGUGGGUAACCUACCCUGUACACACGGAUAACAUACUGAAAGGUAUGCUAAUACGGGAUAAUAUAUUUGAGAGGCAUCUCUUGAAUAUCAAAGGUGAGCCAGUACAGGAUGGACCCGCGUCUGAUUAGCUAGUUGGUAAGGUAACGGCUUACCAAGGCGACGAUCAGUAGCCGACCUGAGAGGGUGAUCGGCCACAUUGGAACUGAGACACGGUCCAAACUCCUACGGGAGGCAGCAGUGGGGAAUAUUGCACAAUGGGCGAAAGCCUGAUGCAGCAACGCCGCGUGAGUGAUGAAGGCCUUCGGGUCGUAAAACUCUGUCCUCAAGGAAGAUAAUGACGGUACUUGAGGAGGAAGCCCCGGCUAACUACGUGCCAGCAGCCGCGGUAAUACGUAGGGGGCUAGCGUUAUCCGGAUUUACUGGGCGUAAAGGGUGCGUAGGCGGUCUUUCAAGUCAGGAGUGAAAGGCUACGGCUCAACCGUAGUAAGCUCUUGAAACUGGGAGACUUGAGUGCAGGAGAGGAGAGUGGAAUUCCUAGUGUAGCGGUGAAAUGCGUAGAUAUUAGGAGGAACACCAGUUGCGAAGGCGGCUCUCUGGACUGUAACUGACGCUGAGGCACGAAAGCGUGGGGAGCAAACAGGAUUAGAUACCCUGGUAGUCCACGCUGUAAACGAUGAGUACUAGGUGUCGGGGGUUACCCC